This 21-nucleotide non-coding RNA is filed under the name Caenorhabditis elegans. Lineage: Eukaryota; Metazoa; Nematoda; Chromadorea; Rhabditida; Rhabditidae. The record is from RNAcentral.
UUCUGAACAACGUUUUCUUUA